AGGAUGAACGCUGGCGGUCUGCUUAACACAUGCAAGUCGAACGGGCGUAGCAAUACGUUAGUGGCGGACGGGUGAGUAACGCGUGAGAAUCUACCUUCAGGACGGAGACAACAGUUGGAAACGACUGCUAACCCCCGAUGUACCGAAAGGGCAAAUAUUUAUAGCCUGAAGAAGAGCUCGCGUCCGAUUAGCUAGUUGGAGAGGUAAAAGCUCACCAAGGCGACGAUCGGUAGCUGGUCUGAGAGGACGAUCAGCCACACUGGGACUGAGACACGGCCCAGACUCCUACGGGAGGCAGCAGUGGGAAUUUUCCGCAAUGGGCGAAAGCCUGACGGAGCAAGACCGCGUGGGGGAAGAAGGCUCUUGGGUUGUAAACCCCCUUUUCUCUUGGGGAAGAACGCAAUGACGGUACCAGAGGAAUCAGCAUCGGCUAACUCCGUGCCAGCAGCCGC
This 452-nucleotide ribosomal RNA is filed under the name uncultured bacterium. RNAcentral describes it as "SSU rRNA". It matches the Rfam family "Bacterial small subunit ribosomal RNA", at positions 26 to 518 of the family's 1533-position model. The record is from RNAcentral.